This 327-nucleotide ribosomal RNA is filed under the name Vibrio sp. K10K1_085. Its description in RNAcentral is "bacterial SSU rRNA". It matches the Rfam family "Bacterial small subunit ribosomal RNA", at positions 106 to 436 of the family's 1533-position model. The record is from RNAcentral. RNAcentral also lists the same sequence under 1 other name. Lineage: Bacteria; Pseudomonadati; Pseudomonadota; Gammaproteobacteria; Vibrionales; Vibrionaceae.
GUGAGUAAUGCCUAGGAAAUUGCCCUGAUGUGGGGGAUAACCAUUGGAAACGAUGGCUAAUACCGCAUGAUGCCUACGGGCCAAAGAGGGGGACCUUCGGGCCUCUCGCGUCAGGAUAUGCCUAGGUGGGAUUAGCUAGUUGGUGAGGUAAGGGCUCACCAAGGCGACGAUCCCUAGCUGGUCUGAGAGGAUGAUCAGCCACACUGGAACUGAGACACGGUCCAGACUCCUACGGGAGGCAGCAGUGGGGAAUAUUGCACAAUGGGCGCAAGCCUGAUGCAGCCAUGCCGCGUGUGUGAAGAAGGCCUUCGGGUUGUAAAGCACUUU